GACGAACGCUGGCGGCGUGCCUAAUACAUGCAGGUUGAGCGCUGAAGGUUGGUACUUGUCCCGACUGGAUGAGCAGCGAACGGGUGAGUAACGCGUGGGGAAUCUGCCUUUGAGCGGGGGACAACAUUUGGAAACGAAUGCUAAUACCGCAUAAAAACUUUAAACACAAGUUUUAAGUUUGAAAGAUGCAAUUGCAUCACUCAAAGAUGAUCCCGCGUUGUAUUAGCUAGUUGGUGAGGUAAAGGCUCACCAAGGCGAUGAUACAUAGCCGACCUGAGAGGGUGAUCGGCCACAUUGGGACUGAGACACGGCCCAAACUCCUACGGGAGGCAGCAGUAGGGAAUCUUCGGCAAUGGACGAAAGUCUGACCGAGCAACGCCGCGUGAGUGAAGAAGGGUUUCGGAUCGUAAAACUCUGUUGGUAGAGAAGAACGUUGGUGAGAGUGGAAAGCUCAUCAAGUGACGGUAACUACCCAGAAAGGGACGGCUAACUACGUG
Molecule: ribosomal RNA, 497 nt
Filed under: uncultured bacterium
Lineage: Bacteria
Description: partial 16S ribosomal RNA
Rfam family: Bacterial small subunit ribosomal RNA
Source: RNAcentral